Molecule: ribosomal RNA, 253 nt
Filed under: uncultured bacterium
Lineage: Bacteria
Description: partial 16S ribosomal RNA
Rfam family: Bacterial small subunit ribosomal RNA
Source: RNAcentral
GACGAACCGUGCGAACGAUGUUCGGAAUCACUGGGCUUAAAGGGUGCGUAGGCGGGUUGUCCAGUCUGGGGUGAAAUCCCACGGCUCAACCGUGGAAUUGCCUCAGAUACUGACGACCUCGAGGGAGGUAGGGGCGGGCGGAACUGUGGGUGGAGCGGUGAAAUGCGUUGAUAACCACAGGAACUCCGGUGGCGAAGGCGGCUCGCUGGACCUCUUCUGACGCUGAGGCACGAAAGCUAGGGGAGCAAACGGG